UGGGGAAUCUUGCACAAUGGGGGAAACCCUGAUGCAGCGACGCCGCGUGAGCGAUGAAGCCCUUCGGGGUGUAAAGCUCUUUCGGCAGGAACGAUAAUGACGGUACCUGCAGAAGAAGCUGCGGCUAACUACGUGCCAGCAGCCGCGGUAAUACGUAGGCAGCGAGCGUUGUUCGGAAUUACUGGGCGUAAAGAGUGUGUAGGUGGUGUCGUAAGUUUGGUGUGAAAUCUCCCGGCUUAACUGGGAGGGUGCGCCGAAGACUGCGAUGCUGGAGUAUGGGAGAGGAAAGCGGAAUUCCUGGUGUAGCGGUGAAAUGCGUAGAUAUCAGGAGGAACACCUGCGGUGUAGACGGCUUUCUGGACCAUUACUGACACUGAGACACGAAAGCG
This 389-nucleotide ribosomal RNA is filed under the name uncultured bacterium. Its description in RNAcentral is "bacterial SSU rRNA". It matches the Rfam family "Bacterial small subunit ribosomal RNA", at positions 355 to 761 of the family's 1533-position model. The record is from RNAcentral.